CCUACGGGUGGCAGCAGUAGGGAAUAUUGCUCAAUGGGGGAAACCCUGAAGCAGCAACGCCGCGUGGAGGAUGAAGGUUUUCGGAUUGUAAACUCCUUUUGUUAGAGAAGAUAAUGACGGUAUCUAACGAAUAAGCACCGGCUAACUCCGUGCCAGCAGCCGCGGUAAUACGGAGGGUGCAAGCGUUACUCGGAAUCACUGGGCGUAAAGGGCGCGUAGGCGGGAUAGCAAGUCAGAUGUGAAAUCCUAUGGCUUAACCAUAGAACUGCGUUUGAAACUGUUAUUCUAGAGUAUGGGAGAGGUAGGUGGAAUUCGUGGUGUAGGGGUAAAAUCCGUAGAGAUCAAGAGGAAUACUCAUUGCGAAGGCGACCUGCUAGAACAUAACUGACGCUGAUGCGCGAAAGCGUGGGGAGCAAACAGGAUUAGAUACCCGAGUAGUC
This 440-nucleotide ribosomal RNA is filed under the name uncultured bacterium. Its description in RNAcentral is "partial 16S ribosomal RNA". It matches the Rfam family "Bacterial small subunit ribosomal RNA", at positions 338 to 795 of the family's 1533-position model. The record is from RNAcentral.